Phodopus roborovskii (desert hamster) is the source of this 201-nucleotide long non-coding RNA. RefSeq lists it as uncharacterized. Lineage: Eukaryota; Metazoa; Chordata; Mammalia; Rodentia; Cricetidae. The record is from RefSeq and is a predicted model, not a curated record. The transcript is spliced from 2 exons.
AAGGCUACCGGAAGCCUUAAGUAGACCAAAAUGGGGGCUCAAAUAUGCUAAUAGACGAGCUAAAUAUACUUUAAUCCUGUUAUAAUACAAGAGUGUCAACAGUUGGGUGAGCAAGCCUCCUCAGAGCUUAGAUCAGUAUCCUGUGACCUUCCGCAUUGAAGUGCGCCAUUCAGCCAAGCCUUCCAGCUGUUGCCUGAAUGG